This 236-nucleotide ribosomal RNA is filed under the name uncultured bacterium. RNAcentral describes it as "partial 16S ribosomal RNA". It matches the Rfam family "Bacterial small subunit ribosomal RNA", at positions 100 to 334 of the family's 1533-position model. The record is from RNAcentral.
CGGCACGGGUGAGUAACACGUAUCCAACCUGCCGUCUACUCUUGGACAGCCUUCUGAAAGGGAGAUUAAUACAAGAUGGCAUCAUGAGUCCGCAUGUUCACAUGAUUAAAGGUAUUCCGGUAGACGAUGGGGAUGCGUUCCAUUAGAUAGUAGGCGGGGUAACGGCCCACCUAGUCUUCGAUGGAUAGGGGUUCUGAGAGGAAGGUCCCCCACAUUGGAACUGAGACACGGUCCAA